GCCUGGUUAAAAAUUGCCAGGUUGAAGGCUUCCUUCUCUAAUAUACAAAUUAAUUAUUUACUGCUCACGUUGCUGUGUCCAGAAAUAACACUUUUGAUUUGGUAAUGAGAAUAGAAAACAACCCAUCCCCUACUCAGAAGAGCAGUAAAAACCCACUGCAUGAACCGAACCGCUGUAGGGGUGAGAGGACCAAGAGUGGCAUUUGUACUCAGUGGUAGGGAUGUAAGCAUUUAAAUCCCAAAAGAAAUAUCCUGAAUUUGAUCGUGAUGGUGCUGGUUAUUAUCUGAAUUCAGUUUGUUACUGCUCAUUGUCAUUCAUUUUUACAUCAUCACAUAGAGAAUCACUAACAUUCUGUUCAAAGGGGACCUUAGAGAUCAUUUAACCCAACCCCUUCAUUCCAUAUGCAUACCUUGGCUUUACAGAAGGGGUCAAUGAAGCUCUAGGAGUAUUCUGUCUUCUAUCACACAGCUAAGUUGGAAUGCCUACAACUCGGAGCUAUCCCAAGUGUGACUUUAGACAAAUUUCUUCCCCACUCUGGGCCUCAGUUUCCCUAUCUGUAGCAAUGGCAGAGUUGGACUGGAUACUCCCUGAGUUCUUUCCAGUUCUGAUCUUGAAUACCUCUAUGUAUCCAUCCUUUGUGUGACAGUGCUCAGGAGCAAACUCCUUGUAUGUCUUGGAGUUCUGGAAGCAUCUGGGUAUAGAAGUUACUGCAUGUUUUUUCCAUCAUUCAGAGUCUUAUAUCCCAGAGCAGUGAGUGGUUACUCAGACUGACUCUAGUCCACUGAAAUCUAGACUGCCCCUCCUCCUGAAGGUAUCUUCAUUUUCAACAGGAGUCAAGGCUAAGAGCAACGGUGAUAGAAAGGAGUGGAGAAAGAGUCUAGCUAGCUGGGUUGUGCUGAGAUUGACAUUUGGAAAGGGUCUAAUGAAGAAGGGGCUCAGCCUCACCAAAUAGGGCCCUCUCCCUGCUAGGUACUAGGUGAAGGCUAGAGUAUCUCCUAUCUUACCAGAGCCUAGGGCCUGAACUGUGGUUUCGGAGUUUAGAUUCUGUGACAGCAGGUGCACUCUCCACAGCUUUUCCCUUGACUUCUGGACCUCUGGACUUUCUCUUUGUAGGAGGGGGUGUAUAUGUAGGAUGCUAUAGCACUAUUCUAGGUGUCCUUUCAGGGCAACCAGGACAGAAAGCCUGCAAGUGAAAGACCCCUACUCUAUUUUUAUUAUUAUUAUUAUUAUUAUUAUUAUUAUUAUUAUUAUUAUUAUUUGUGCUGAGAAUUUAACCCAGGGCUUUGCACAUAC
RNAcentral lists this long non-coding RNA (1293 nucleotides) under Marmota monax (woodchuck). Lineage: Eukaryota; Metazoa; Chordata; Mammalia; Rodentia; Sciuridae. The record is from RNAcentral.